CUGAACCACAUUUGUGGUGAUGAAAGGUUUGGUCAGAAAAGGAGGCUGGGGUAAAACAGCAUCUAUUCUGUCAUUUGAAGAAUGGGAAGGAUUUUGCUAGAACAAGAGAGGGUGGGAAAAUAAGAAAGGAAAAUAGAACAUUUUAGGGAAAGGGAAUAGUGUGUGCAAAGAUGAAGAAGUAUAAAAGAAAAUGUAGCUUAUUCCAGAAACUGCUAAAAGGAUCAAUAUGGUGAGAAUAUCACAGUAGCUGUCGUGUCAUGAGAGAGCCACAAUUCUUCAAACAUAUUUAACUGCUGGAGAGAAUGGCUCAGAAUCCCAGGUAUCAGCUUCAGCACACAGAUAAAAUAUAAGAAAGAAUUUGAGGUUGAUGUCAGAAGCAUUUCCAACAGGGCUAAGGAAGUAUUUUUUUGGAAGGUGAG
This 419-nucleotide long non-coding RNA is filed under the name Homo sapiens (human). RNAcentral's name for it is "non-protein coding LINC02173:11". The record is from RNAcentral. Lineage: Eukaryota; Metazoa; Chordata; Mammalia; Primates; Hominidae.